CGAAAGAUGAAAAGCACUUUGGAAAGAGAGUUAAACAGUACGUGAAAUUGUUGAAAGGGAAGCGCUUGCAACCAGACUUGCGUGUUGUCGAUCAUCCGGGGUUCUCCCCGGUGCACUCGACCUCACUCAGGCCAGCAUCGGUUUCGGUGGUUGGAUAAAGGCCUUGGGAAUGUGGCUCCUCUCGGGGAGUGUUAUAGCCCUCGGUGCAAUGCAGCCUACCGGGACCGAGGACCGCGCUUCGGCUAGGAUGCUGGCGUAAUGGUUGUAAGCGACCCGUCUUGAAACACGGACCAAGGAGUCUAACAUCUAUGCGAGUGUUUGGGUGUCAAACCCAUACGCGUAAUGAAAGUGAACGGAGGUGAGAACCCUUAAGGGUGCAUCAUCGACCGAUCCUGAUGUCUUCGGAUGGAUUUGAGUAAGAGCAUAGCUGUUGGGACCCGAAAGAUGGUGAACUAUGCCUGAAUAGGGUGAAGCCAGAGGAAACUCUGGUGGAGGCUCGCAGCGGUUCUGACGUGCAAAUCGAUCGUCAAAUUUGGGUAUAGGGGCGAAAGACUAAUCGAACCAUUGGUAACCUUGCUAGGUGGUUGGGAGGGCGCUCAAAGUGCAGCCCUAGUCCUGUAGCCAGGGCAACACUGUCAAAUUGUUCGGGGACCACCCGCUUUAAAUUCUAAGCUACCGCAGCCUGGGCGAAAGCCCUGGUGCGCACCAGGUUAACGGCCUCGGGUAUGGUAACAACGCUUAGAUAGGGUCAAUCCGCAGCGAAAGGCCUACGGGUGCCGCACGAGGCACCUAUGGUCUACACGUUCACAGACUAGACGGCAGUGGGUUCAGGCGCGAGAGCGCCUGGGCUUAAGAUAUAGUCGGGCCCCCCAGAGAUGGGGCGGGCAGAAGAAGGCUGUGGGAGGCUACCCCUCCAGGGUCCCACAGCCCCGAGCUGCCCGGUGGAGGCGGCGCCAGCAGGCGCCCCU
This 968-nucleotide ribosomal RNA is filed under the name Pseudofabraea citricarpa. RNAcentral's name for it is "partial large subunit ribosomal RNA". It matches the Rfam family "Eukaryotic large subunit ribosomal RNA", at positions 358 to 1429 of the family's 3401-position model. The record is from RNAcentral. Lineage: Eukaryota; Fungi; Ascomycota; Leotiomycetes; Helotiales; Dermateaceae.